GCAAGUCGAACGAGAAAGGGUUCUUCGGAACCCGAGUAAAGUGGCGCACGGGUGAGUAACGCGUAGAUAAUCUAUCUUUAUGUUUGGGAUAACCCUUCGAAAGGGGGACUAAUACCUGAUAUAUUCGUACCUAUCGGGGUAUGAAGGAAAGGUGGCCUCUAUUUAUAAGCUAUCGCAUGAAGAGGAGUCUGCGUACCAUUAGCUAGUUGGUGGGGUAAAGGCCUACCAAGGCAACGAUAGGUAGCUGGUCUGAGAGGAUGAUC
RNAcentral lists this ribosomal RNA (263 nucleotides) under uncultured bacterium. RNAcentral's name for it is "partial 16S ribosomal RNA". It matches the Rfam family "Bacterial small subunit ribosomal RNA", at positions 57 to 305 of the family's 1533-position model. The record is from RNAcentral.